AGUGAACGCUGGCGGUAGGCCUAACACAUGCAAGUCGAACGGCAGCACAGUAAGAGCUUGCUCUUACGGGUGGCGAGUGGCGGACGGGUGAGGAAUACAUCGGAAUCUACUUUUUCGUGGGGGAUAACGUAGGGAAACUUACGCUAAUACCGCAUACGACCUACGGGUGAAAGCAGGGGAUCUUCGGACCUUGCGCGAUUGAAUGAGCCGAUGUCGGAUUAGCUAGUUGGCGGGGUAAAGGCCCACCAAGGCGACGAUCCGUAGCUGGUCUGAGAGGAUGAUUAGCCACACUGGAACUGAGACACGGUCCAGACUCCUACGGGGGGCAGCGGUGGGGAAUAUUGGACAAUGGGCGCAAGCCUGAUCCAGCCAUACCGCGUGGGUGAAGAAGGCCUUCGGGUUGUAAAGCCCUUUUGUUGGGAUAGAAAAGCAGCAGGUUAAUACCCCGCUGUUCUGACGGUACCCAAAGAAUAAGCACCGGCUAACUUCGUG
RNAcentral lists this ribosomal RNA (492 nucleotides) under uncultured bacterium. Its description in RNAcentral is "partial 16S ribosomal RNA". It matches the Rfam family "Bacterial small subunit ribosomal RNA", at positions 29 to 507 of the family's 1533-position model. The record is from RNAcentral.